This 459-nucleotide ribosomal RNA is filed under the name uncultured bacterium. Its description in RNAcentral is "partial 16S ribosomal RNA". It matches the Rfam family "Bacterial small subunit ribosomal RNA", at positions 338 to 795 of the family's 1533-position model. The record is from RNAcentral.
CCUACGGGUGGCAGCAGUGGGGAAUAUUGGUCAAUGGGCGCAAGCCUGAACCAGCCAAGUCGCGUGAAGGAAGACGGUCCUAUGGAUUGUAAACCUCUUUUGUCGGGGAGCAAAAGACGCCACGCGUGGCGUUCCGAGCGUACCCGAAGACAAAGCAUCGGCUAACUCCGUGCCAUCAGCCGCGGUAAUACGGGGGAUGCAAGCGUUAUCCGGAUUUGUUGGGGUUAAAGGGUGGGCAGGCGGAAGAUCAAGUCAGCGGUAAAAUUGAGAGGCUCAACCCGUUCGAGCCGUUGAAACUGGUUUUCUUGAGUGAGCGAGAGGUAUGCGGAAUGCGUGGUGUAGCGGUGAAAUGCAUAGAUAUUACGCAGAACUCCGAUUGCGAAGGCAGCAUACCGGCGCUCAACUGACGCUGAUGCACGAAAGCGUGGGUAGCGAACAGGAUUAGAUACCCUUGUAGUC